GAUUCCCGAACGUCGCAGUUCAGGGACGAGGACGGGGGACCCACCAGUCCCCGGAAAGCCGCGAGCAGCCGCUCACGGCGAUUUGGAGGACACCGGCCGGUCCCGCACCGGCCUCGGGGUGAAGCCAGACCCUCUCCCGCCAGGAGAGGUGAGGCCGAGCAGCCUCUCAGCUCGAACCCGACAGCUGACCUCGCAGGCGCGUGUGGAGAGGAUCU
RNAcentral lists this small RNA (215 nucleotides) under Rhodococcus rhodnii. RNAcentral describes it as "c-di-AMP sequence". It matches the Rfam family "c-di-AMP riboswitch aptamer (ydaO/yuaA leader)". Rfam says of the family: This family represents a conserved RNA structure found upstream of the ydaO and yuaA genes in Bacillus subtilis and related genes in other bacteria. The ydaO/yuaA element is thought to act as a genetic "off" switch for the ydaO and yuaA genes in its native state. The record is from RNAcentral. RNAcentral also lists the same sequence under 1 other name. Lineage: Bacteria; Bacillati; Actinomycetota; Actinomycetes; Mycobacteriales; Nocardiaceae.